UCUAUUACUGAAAUAGCUUAUAACCGAUUAAAAACUAAGUUUAGAAGGCUAAAAUAUUUGGAUAUUGCGGAUUUUGAUUUAGGAAAUGAAAUGAAUUGCUGCAGCUUGUGUGCUCCAUAAUUUUAUACGAUAGAUUGAACAUAGCGAUAGUCUAUAACUGAAUGACUAUUCUUUAAAUAAUACUGUCUAUCGAGCUAUGGGUGACACUCCUUCGCAACUAAUGUUUAGAGUCACUCAAAAAGGGAAAACUAAUGAUAUGUUACGUAAAAUGUUCGAAUCAGAUGUGGAUCGUGACCUCAAAGAAAUUCGAGAUCGAGCGUCUAAUUAUGUAUAUCAUAGUAUGAUAUCCUUCUGCAACUCACUCCUAUAAAACAGUAAAUUGAAUCGUUCAAACAACAAGUAGAAGUACUAACCAUUAAAGCACGCCGGGGAUAUUCAAGAAGCCGAAACCGACGAGGUCUCCGAGGAUUGAUUUCCAUAAAUAUAACACUAAAUAAAAUACUAUAUAUUGGUACUGUUACGCUAUUUUUAAUAAAGAAGCUUACAGAUGUAAACCACACUAUGCUUUGCGAAAUUCUGAGAUAAUCUAUACACAACAGAUGGGAAACUAAACAAUCUUGACCGGAAGCACACAAGGAAGCUACUUCCAAGCAACAACAUCUCAUAAUCGCAGUUCCGCAAACAAUAUGCAAAUAUUCCAACGUACGACCAUAAGCUCAUCAACGAUAUUACUGUUGGCUAAAUUAAUCGAAUUUACAUUUAAAGACUGAAGAUUCAAUCCAUCUCACAGUUUAAGAAAUUACAAAGAAAAUGAGCUCAAGAAAGAUGAAAUUGAUAAUUCCUUGGAGCUGAUAAGUACAUUCUGCGCAAGUUCACCUAUUUCCGAAAAAAGCAGAGGGCGCCAACUAUUCAAAAGUAUCAAACAUUGAAGAAUUGUAUUUUGAUGUCAUUUGAUAAAGCGAGUCCAAACUACGUCGGCUGCUGCGAGGAAAAUAGGGGAAUGUAAAAAUCACUAAUUUCUUACAAAAACUGCGUAACCUAGCAGGCAAAAUAUGUGGAGACUCAUUACUAACGUUCUCUAUUCAUCAAACAAUUACUCGGAUAAAUUUGGGCAGUUUUAGCUGUGGGAGGUCAUUGAAGACAUCGUUACAUUAGCAGUACCAGACAAAACAAUAGAGAUUAUGUAAUUAAUGCAUUCGCAUCGCUGCAAUCUCCCUGCAACUCACUCCCAACUUGGAACAACAAAUUAUUUCCUUUAAACAACAAUUAGAGGCGUAAUUAAAGCACGAGGGAAUGCUUAAGAAGUCGAAACCGAGGACGAAGCCUUCGAAGGUUAUUAGUCGUAAAUUAUUACGACUAUUAAAGAUUAAGAAAUUUUACAAUAAGUAAUUUUGUUGAAUUAAUUAUCGACUGAUCAGAGUUUAGUCGAAGUUUUCCUUUCAGCGCUUCUCGUGUUGCGCGAGCUUUAAAAU
This is an unclassified non-coding RNA of Acromyrmex echinatior (Panamanian leafcutter ant), 1472 nucleotides long. The record is from RefSeq and is a predicted model, not a curated record. NCBI's taxonomy places the organism in Eukaryota, Metazoa, Arthropoda, Insecta, Hymenoptera, Formicidae.